Molecule: non-coding RNA, 1916 nt
Organism: Kogia breviceps (pygmy sperm whale)
Lineage: Eukaryota; Metazoa; Chordata; Mammalia; Artiodactyla; Physeteridae
Source: RefSeq, a predicted model, not a curated record
AAAGUUUGACGCUGGGCGGGCGGCAGUGGGUCACGUGAGCGGAAGAUGGCGGCUCCGGCGGGCAGCGGGGGCUCUGCGGUGUCGGUGCUGGCCCCGAACGGGCGGCGCCACACGGUGAAGGUGACGCCGAGCACAGUGCUACUGCAGGUCUUGGAGGACACGUGCCAUCGGCAGGACUUCAACCCCAACGAGUACGACCUGAAGUUUCAGAGGAAUGUGCUUGACCUCUCUCUCCAGUGGAGAUUUGCCAAUCUGCCCAAUAACGCCAAGCUGGAGAUGGUGCCCAUCUCCCGGAGCCGCGAGGGGCCCGAGAACAUGGUGCGCAUUGCUCUGCAGUUGGAUGAUGGCUCCAGGUUGCAAGACACUUUCUGCUCAGGCCAGACACUCUGGGAGCUUCUCUGCCGUUUUGCCCAGAUCAAGGAGUGUCUGGACCGGCCGUGUGAGGCCAGCCCCGUCUGCGUGUACAUGAGAGAUGAGGUGACCGGCAGAGCCGCCUUGCAGAGCACGACGCUGCAGUCACUGGGCCUCACCGGGGGCAGUGCCAUCAUCAGGUUUUCCAUGAAGCGACAUGAUUCCACUGGCAAGCAGGAGCCUGGGGUCUCCUGGAGCAAAAGCCCAGGAAGCCCGACCCUUUCCUUGUCGGCCGACCAGGCAGCCAGCAGCCCUCUGUUUCCACUGAAUUCAGCGGGCCUCAGCCAGGGCGAUGAGAGCCAUCAGGAUGGGACAGCGAGCCCGGGGGCCGGCCGCGUGGAUGGCCUGGGCCCGAAGCCAGUGGAUGCUCAGGAGAAGCAGAUCUCGAAGGAGCCCACACCAGCCCCCUUUGUUCCUUUCUCGGGUGGGGGACAGCGACUGGGGGGCCCCUCCGGGUCCGUGAGGCCUCUGAUGUCAUCUUCAGCCAAACUGCCAAAGUCCUUCUCCAGCCCUGCAGGCCCCUCCCAGCCAAAGAAGUCAAGGCCUGGCCAGGAGCCCCAGCCGGAGCCGGAGCUGCCAGUGGACCGAGACCCCGUGGUGUGCCACCCAGACCUGGAGGUGCUGCUCCAGGCCUGGCCUGCGGAGCUGCCUGACGAGUUCUUCGAAGUGACCGUGGAUGACGUCAGAAGACGCUUGGCCCAGCUCAAGGGUGAACGGAAGCGCCUGGAAGAAGCCCCCUUGGUGACCAAGGCCUUCAGAGAGGCUCAGAUGAAGGAGAAGCUGCAGCGCUACCCUAAGGUGGUCUUGAGGGUCCUGUUUCCUGACCGCUACAUCCUGCAGGGCUUCUUCCGCCCCAGCGAGACUGUGGGGGAUUUGCGGGACUUUGUGAGGAGCCACCUGGGCAACCCCAAGCUGCCGUUCUACCUGUUCAUCGCUCCUCCAAAAACCAUCCUGGACGACCACACGCUGACCCUCUUUCAGCCGUCUCCUUUCAUCCGUCAGCUCUCCCUGGAGCCGUGGGGCCUCUGCUCGGAGUGGCGUCCCUGCCCGCCCGCGAUCAGAGAGCUGGCAGGGCUCAGGGAAGGAAGGCUUCCUCCCUCCUGCGGGCAAACCUCUUCCCUGCUGCCCUUGUGCACUUUGGACCUGAGGAGCCAACAGGCAUCUACCUGGAGCCCACGCUGCUGGAACACACUGUUUCCCCGUCUGCAGCGGACGUGCUGGUGGCCAGGUCCAUGUCCAGGGCCGCUGGAACCCCACCCCCGCCGCCAGCCCCUGACCCUGUGCCCGUUGAGUUAGAGCCAACUGCUGAGGAAGGGGCAGCGGGCCCCCCUGAGCCCAGCCCUGGGACGGCCCAGCCAGUGAGGAGGGGUCUGGGCAAGGUGCCCAAGUGGCUGAAGCUGCCAGCCAGCAAGAGGUGAGAGCCGCCAGCCCAGAGGUGCCACUCUGCCAGCCACAGGACCCCUGCCCACCCUGAGCAGGAAUAAACACGCAAGCCUCUCUUGAGA